GCCGAAGUGGCGGAAUUGGCAGACGCGCACGUUUCAGGUACGUGUGAGCGCAAGCUCAUGGAGGUUCAAGUCCUCUCUUCGGCA
This 84-nucleotide transfer RNA is filed under the name Patescibacteria group bacterium. RNAcentral's name for it is "tRNA-Leu". It matches the Rfam family "tRNA". Rfam says of the family: Transfer RNA (tRNA) molecules are approximately 80 nucleotides in length. Their secondary structure includes four short double-helical elements and three loops (D, anti-codon, and T loops). The record is from RNAcentral.